CCUGAUCCCUUCCCGAACUCAGAAGUGAAACCUCUUAGCGCUGAUGGUAGUGUGGGAUUACCCAUGUGAGAGUAAGUCAUCGCCAG
This 86-nucleotide ribosomal RNA is filed under the name Acinetobacter baumannii. Lineage: Bacteria; Pseudomonadati; Pseudomonadota; Gammaproteobacteria; Moraxellales; Moraxellaceae. The record is from RNAcentral.